CAUGGACAAGUUUAUCACUCUAGUUUCAUUGAUGAUGACGGGAUCACAAAAGCCUGUGGGUGUCCUUUGCUUCCACUCAAAACCCAUAUGAAGGGCCCAGCCCCAGCCUCAGAUUCAGAUAAGGAGGGUAUAAUUGAUGAAGCAAUAACUUUCUUCCGUGCAAAUGUUUUCUUCAAAAACUUCCAUGUCAAAAGCCCAGCAGACAAAUUGCUCAUCUAUCUGACAUCUUACAUCAAUAUUGCCUUGAAAAGACUAGAAACCUGCCGGACGCUGGCUGUCGGAACUAAGGCAAUCAUUAACCUGGGGUUGGAAAAAGUUCCUGCGCCUGGGGAACCAGGGUUUCCUUUCCCUGGACUUUUCACUCUCCCCCAAUCUGGGGAGGAAGCAGAACUGUUGAGGAACUAUCUGAAGCAGAUAAGGGAGGAAACGAGCGGGAGGCUGCUCAACUGCGCAUACAGAGCUAAUGGCACUCCCAACAAAUGGUGGCUGGCUUUUGCGAAGAGGAAGUUCAUGAACGUUGUCAUCCUUUAG
Molecule: ribosomal RNA, 531 nt
Filed under: Triticum aestivum (bread wheat)
Lineage: Eukaryota; Viridiplantae; Streptophyta; Magnoliopsida; Poales; Poaceae
Description: partial small subunit ribosomal RNA
Source: RNAcentral